RNAcentral lists this small nuclear RNA (29 nucleotides) under Arabidopsis thaliana (thale cress). RNAcentral's name for it is "snRNA_02627". Lineage: Eukaryota; Viridiplantae; Streptophyta; Magnoliopsida; Brassicales; Brassicaceae. The record is from RNAcentral.
GCGGCGAGAGCGGGUCGCCGCGUGCCGGC